AUUGAACGCUGGCGGCAGGCUUAACACAUGCAAGUCGAGCGGGGUGAUGGUGCUUGCACUAUCACUUAGCGGCGGACGGGUGAGUAAUGCUUAGGAAUCUGCCUAUUAGUGGGGGACAACAUCUCGAAAGGGAUGCUAAUACCGCAUACGUCCUACGGGAGAAAGCAGGGGAUCACUUGUGACCUUGCGCUAAUAGAUGAGCCUAAGUCGGAUUAGCUAGUUGGUGGGGUAAAGGCCUACCACGGCGACGAUCUGUAGCGGGUCUGAGAGGAGGAUCCGGCGCACUGGGAGUGAGACACGGCCCAGAAUCCUACGGGAGGCAGCAGUGGGGAAUAUUGGAGAAUGGGGGGAACCCUGAUCCAGCCAUGCCGCGUGUGUGAAGAAGGCCUUAUGGUUGUAAAGCACUUUAAGCGAGGAGGGGGCUCUUGUGGUUAAUACCCAAGAUGAGUGGACGUUACUCGCAGAAUAAGCACCGGCUAACUCUGUGCCAGCCGCCGCAGUAA
RNAcentral lists this ribosomal RNA (503 nucleotides) under uncultured bacterium. RNAcentral describes it as "partial 16S ribosomal RNA". It matches the Rfam family "Bacterial small subunit ribosomal RNA", at positions 30 to 523 of the family's 1533-position model. The record is from RNAcentral.